GAUGAAGAACGUAGCGAAAUGCGAUAAGUAAUGUGAAUUGCAGAAUUCAGUGAAUCAUCGAAUCUUUGAACGCACCUUGCGCUCCUUGGUAUUCCAAAGAGCAUGCCUGUUUGAGUAUCAUUAAAUUAUCAACUGUACCAAUUUGGUUGCAGAUUGGAUGUGGGAGAUUUUGCAGGCUUUUGAUUUCUCUUUGAGAAAACGGUCAGCUCUCCUGAAAUAUAUUAGCAGUGCCUUUGUUGGUUCAUUAGGUGUGAUAAUUUAUCUACAUCUUCAAAUGGUACCUUCAUUUGUGUAAAGGUCAUAUUGCUUCUAAUUGUCUUUGGACAUAAAAAAAAAAAAACAUAUAAUUGUAUGGAAAACUUAAUCUCAAAUCAGGCAGGACUACCCGCUGAACUUAAGCAUAUCAAUAAGCGGAGGA
Molecule: unclassified non-coding RNA, 418 nt
Filed under: soil metagenome
Description: partial contains 5.8S ribosomal RNA, internal transcribed spacer 2, and large subunit ribosomal RNA
Rfam family: 5.8S ribosomal RNA (bases 1-120)
Source: RNAcentral